GAUGAACGCUGGCGGCGUGCCUAAUACAUGCAAGUCGAGCGAACAGAUGAGGAGCUUGCUCCUCUGACGUUAGCGGCGGACGGGUGAGUAACACGUGGAGAACCUACCUAUAAGACUGGGAUAACUUCGGGAAACCGGAGCUAAUACCGGAUAAUAUAUUGAACCGCAUGGUUCAAUAGUGAAAGACGGUUUUGCUGUCACUUCUAGAUGGAUCCGCGCCGCAUUAGCUAGUUGGUAAGGUAACGGCUUACCAAGGCAACGAUGCGUAGCCGACCUGAGAGGGUGAUCGGCCACACUGGAACUGAGACACGGUCCAGACUCCUACGGGAGGCAGCAGUAGGGAAUCUUCCGCAAUGGGCGAAAGCCUGACGGAGCAACGCCGCGUGAGUGAUGAAGGUCUUCGGAUCGUAAAACUCUGUUAUUAGGGAAGAACAAAUGUGUAAGUAACUAUGCACGUCUUGACGGUACCUAAUCAGAAAGCCACGGCUAACUACGUG
This 497-nucleotide ribosomal RNA is filed under the name uncultured bacterium. RNAcentral's name for it is "partial 16S ribosomal RNA". It matches the Rfam family "Bacterial small subunit ribosomal RNA", at positions 28 to 507 of the family's 1533-position model. The record is from RNAcentral.